CAGGAAGGCUGUGAACAGAAUGGGGAAGAUGGCCCAGGAUUUAGGCUUCCGAGGCACCCCCUGGAGUGCUCCAGGAUCUCAUCUCGGCCACCCCUCCCUCCAAGCCAGGGCCACCUCCAGACCCCCGGAUGUGUAGAAGCAUGCACUGCCCCGAAGAAAACGCGUUGCCCCCAGAGUCCUUGAAGGCUCACAAAAUACCUGCAUAACCCCUGGACCCUGCAAACCUGGAUUGCCAACCUCACCUAACUUACAAGAAGAUUUGCAAGAGCCUUGAGUUUUGGAGGGAGAUGGGGAGCAAAUUUGCCGACAGUGGCAUCUUCACUACUGUCAUGGUCCAUUGGCCAGACACCCCUUACCUCCUCCUCACUCCCAAAUAUACCCUAUUUUUAAAAAACAGACUUGGAUUGUUACCCUGACUUACCCUUUCAAACCAAUUCCAGGAGAAGAUCUUCUAAAUGUUUCCCUACACCAAGUGUCUCGCCAUUUCUGGGUUAGUAAGGUCUUUCUGGGUUAGAAAGGUCUGCCAUGGUUGUGCACAAUACCUGCUCCAGGGAGAAGGGUGGGAAAGGGUGGCACCCUGUGUACAGAGGAGGCUGGAAGAUCCAGGCAGAGUCCCAAUUCCACCACUGUUCACAGUGGUGAACAGGCAAAGUGCUGCACCACAAAUUUGCAAGUUUGAUCCAGGCUCAUUGACCUGAAGGGAGGCCCAAGAUCAGAAGUACAGCAAAAACAUGUGAAAUUGAGGCUUCCCCCAAGAGAAGCAAGCUGUGGGGCCCAAGAGACCACAACAACAGGGCACAUUCAAACAGCCAAGGUGGAAAAUUGUGAUAUGUGGAGAGUGAUCUUCU
RNAcentral lists this long non-coding RNA (848 nucleotides) under Homo sapiens (human). Its description in RNAcentral is "HSALNT0265517". Lineage: Eukaryota; Metazoa; Chordata; Mammalia; Primates; Hominidae. The record is from RNAcentral.